RNAcentral lists this long non-coding RNA (645 nucleotides) under Mytilus galloprovincialis (Mediterranean mussel). The record is from RNAcentral. Lineage: Eukaryota; Metazoa; Mollusca; Bivalvia; Mytilida; Mytilidae.
AGGGUUUGUUUUGGAAAUUAUGCGCAUGCGUAUAGUUUUCUUGACUUCAAGGGGUUUUAGAUUGAAUGGUUGCUGUGGAUUCUCCACUCAAUUAAUUAAUUUAUAACUCAUGGGAUCUUUUCUAUGUAUUUCUACUAUUGAAGGUUAUUGUUGUUGCAUAAUUUUAAAUCAUAUGCAUCAUUUGAAUUAAAAUAAAUGUUGUCCUCAUCGUAGAACACCCCUUCAGACGAAAUGGAGUCUUCCAUAUUAUCGUUUCGAGUUGUCUCCCUUCCGGAAGUAACUUCCGUGAAUUCUAAAUCAAAACAACACGUCGUGUAUUAGCUCGUUCUGUCAAUAAACGUCGUAUUAAAAACGAUCGCAUUUUAAACCGAUAAAAGUGUACGGAAAGGAGUCAUGAUCACUGACCCAAAGGAAAUUAAAUAUUUAAAGAGUUAAGAAUGGGGUUCCUCCUAGAAUUAAUGUAGGAAAAUAGGCGAUAAGAUACGAAGUGAAAUACCUUCUCUCAGUCUGAGCACAUCGAAGAGAGAAGCGAGAGAAGCUUUACUGUGAUAGUCAACUUUGGUAUAUUUUUACCCCCUUAUUGAUAGGAUUUCAAACUCCUGUGGUCUGAGCACAGGCAAUUGAUUCUAUCCAUUGGAAGACCCA